This 491-nucleotide long non-coding RNA is filed under the name Oryctolagus cuniculus (rabbit). Its description in RNAcentral is "lncRNA (ENSOCUG00000037807.1)". Lineage: Eukaryota; Metazoa; Chordata; Mammalia; Lagomorpha; Leporidae. The record is from RNAcentral.
UGAAGUGAACGCAAUUUUCACUUAUGCUCAUGAUGAAUAUUUCGUUUGAACACUGGAUUCCAUGGAAGAGAAGUCUGAAAACCACUGAUCUCAUCUGAUACUUCCAUGAUUGAGAACACGGCUGGAACUGAGAAGCUGUUGGGGACUGGUGAGGAAGAACAUGGCAUCUACCACCAGGUAAAUGUAAAUUUGACUCUCAGUACUAGCACUCAUGCAGUGAGUUGAGUGUCUUAGAUAAGUCACAAAAAUUUUUGAAUCUCAGCUGCCUCAUUUAUCAAAUGGGAUAAAUGCUUACUUCUCUUGCUUCUGGGAAUGUUAGGGAUAAAGUGACACAGUGCCUACCACAGUGACUGACACAGGGUUGGAGUGUAAUAUAUGCUAGCCUCUGUUAUUUGCAUAUUUAGUCCCUACCACAAUGUCUAAUAUACAAGUGUUAAACCAAAUUAAUUUCAGGAAAUAAACUCUAUCAGGCUCAUUAACCUAUUUCUGUU